UUUCUGUACUAGAUUCUCAUAACAUAGCAUCACCUUUUACCUGCAGCUUUCAUCGCGGCAACGAACAGCGCGCCGGCGUAACGAGGCCCUUCGGGAAGGCGGAGGAGCGUUCCCGCAGCCUGCAGCUGGCUGGGGAAGCUGCCCGGCAUGCCGUGCUGGGGGCAGCGGGAGCAGGGCCCAGCACUUUGCACAGCUCCCCAAGAGCAGCCCCACAUCUUCCCAGCGAGAGGYCCCUGGAGCUCAUUCCUGCAUGUAUCUGCUGCUUAAUGAACUUAAUGAACUCGGGCACCGCRACCUCUGCAGUCACACCGUGGUCCUGCCCUCGGCUGCUCGUCUCACGUAAUGGGGCACGCCGAGGUGGCGUGUCCCCAUCGCUAGGAAAACAGCUGUGCGCCCCACGGGAACAUGGCAAGCUGGAGUUUCCUACCGAGCUGCAGCGUMUGAGCUGGGACUUGUGGGAAAAUCCCUCGGAGGCGAGCCUUGAGAGAAAGCAUGCAAGACUCGAAGCUGCAGUCAGCCCUCCUGCUUCUGGGCUGGAAGCAGAGACAUGGCAGCAGGACUUGUGGUGGAAAUGGCAGUGAAGAUCCCCCCAGGAAGCGGAGUGGGGGGACGGUGGGCUGGAGCUGGCUGAGGCAGACCGGAGCCAUGCCGAAGGGAAAGCAGGUUAUCUGCCAGGGACAUCGGAGAAAAUAGCCCUGGCUUGUUUCAGCGCUGUGCCCUUCUGAGUGUGAUCAGCGAGGAACAGCAGAACUGCUGUGACAUUUGUAGCCGGUGGUUGCUGCCAGCCUGUCCUGUCGUCCCUGCUUGUCUGACACGAAACGGCUCAGGCAGAUGCUGUGAACAAGCUUCCCCGCUUGCUUUGAUUGCUUCCCAGGGAUUCCUCCAUUUGCAUUAUAAUGAAGUGAUAUUUUGCUGUAUAAAUAAACCUGAAAGUUGACAUAUAAAGGACUUACCA
RNAcentral lists this long non-coding RNA (955 nucleotides) under Dromaius novaehollandiae (emu). Its description in RNAcentral is "lncRNA (ENSDNVG00000016187.1)". Lineage: Eukaryota; Metazoa; Chordata; Aves; Casuariiformes; Dromaiidae. The record is from RNAcentral.